CAGUUCGGAUCGGAGUCUGCAACCCGACUCCGUGAAGCUGGAUUCGCUAGUAAUCGCGCAUCAGCCAUGGCGCGGUGAAUACGUUCCCGGGCCUUGUACACACCGCCCGUCAAGCCAUGGGAGCCGGGGGUGCUUGAAGUGCGUCGCGCAAGGCGCGCCCUAGAGCAAAACCGGUGACUGGGGCUAAGUCGUAACAAGGUAGC
RNAcentral lists this ribosomal RNA (203 nucleotides) under uncultured bacterium. RNAcentral describes it as "partial 16S ribosomal RNA". It matches the Rfam family "Bacterial small subunit ribosomal RNA", at positions 1289 to 1500 of the family's 1533-position model. The record is from RNAcentral.